GAUGGCUACCCUCCCAAGUGUCUAGGUCCCCUUGACCCUGUGGUACUAAUAGCUUGCCAUUCCUCUGUCACCACUGCUUUCUGCUUAGCACACAUCCCCUCUGCCCAUGUGCUAUGCUUGCCUUUUCGCUUGCCAAAGGGAAGUGGUUCCGCCAAAAGCGUGUGUCCCAUCCCCUCUGGCCCCCAGGGUCUCCAGGUGUGGUGUUGCUGCGACAGCCCAGCUACACCCCGUCCUAUGCAGAGCUGUCUU
RNAcentral lists this long non-coding RNA (249 nucleotides) under Homo sapiens (human). Its description in RNAcentral is "non-protein coding lnc-COMT-4:2". The record is from RNAcentral. Lineage: Eukaryota; Metazoa; Chordata; Mammalia; Primates; Hominidae.